AGAUAUAUGGCUUCCCAUGGUGGCCAGCCCGUAUUCUUACUAUAACUGUGAGCCGGAGAGAUAACGGCCUUUUAGCCCGGCAGGAGGCCCGUAUUUCAUGGUUUGCAUCUCCAACAACAUCUUUCCUUGCUCUGUCACAACUCUCCCCCUUUCUAGAAAACUUCCAGUUACGGUUUAAUAAGAAGAGAAAGGGUCUGUAUCGCAGGGCUAUCACAGAGGCGGCUAAGGCUGCUAAGCAGCUGACCCCUGAAGUGCGGGCUUUGUUGACACAAUUUGAAACAUGAACAUGGACAGUAAGGUAGGCAAGAACCACUGGAGCUGCUGCAGAUCCCUGGCUAGUUAGGAGUCGUUUCCACUAGCUAGCUUAGCCAAACUGGAGAGAAAUUGCACUCACUUGGCUUUUUAUAUGUAAUAUAUAGCCAUUUUUAGACUAAGAAGCUUAAAACUGAAACAUGCUUCAAAUUUCCUCUUCAAGAAGUAGGAUUUUAAGAAUAUUUUCCAGUUUUGAAAUUGAAAACCAUCCUAAGGCAUAGAAGCCAUAGCUUCAAAUGAAACAGUUGUUGCAGGGACUGUUAAUUGCCAUUUGUAGCUAGUGUAUGUGUGUGUGUGCAUAUAAAUACAUGUACAUACACACAACAACACACCUACAUACAUACACAUGUAUAAACUAUUGUCUGUCACCAUGUGACACAGGUUGCAAUAUUUGGGGUUUUAGUAAGGGCUGGAGCUUGGGGAACGGUGGCUACUCAAUGAUUACUUGUUUUAUAACAGUGAACACUUAGACUCUCUAUGCACAUAAUGGUGUAAAAGCUUGGUCCUGGGUAUUUGACAGAUAGGUGCUUGCUGUGACACAUUGGGAUGCUUGCUGUUUAGUAAUAGCUGACCAGGCUGUACACAUCGCCCAGUAUGGGAUUAAAACUAUUAAGACUAGACAAGUUCGAGUCAGCACUCUCUUGUCCGGUUAGGUUGUAAAACAAACAGAUACUUAGUUGGGACAUUUCGAUAGGUUUUAUUUGGCGUAUAUAAAUAGUUGAGUGAAAAUUUAGUCAGAUUUCUCCUGACUGGCUGUUCCUAAAUUCUUAGGACAGGUCCUAGUAAUUAACACUUUGUGAAUUAAUGUCAUGUGUAAUUGUUGCAUUUUGGAUGUACCUAAUUUGAUAGUUUUUAAGAAGCAUUUUCCAGUUAAGGUAAUCUGUUUGCAGGUCAGAAAAUGAGAAAUGUAAUUGUAUAAUGCAUUGAAAUGUAAAAAAAAACAAAAAAAGCUGUAAAUAAAAUCAACUAAAUCC
This 1286-nucleotide long non-coding RNA is filed under the name Rattus norvegicus (Norway rat). RNAcentral describes it as "long non-coding RNA NONRATT004179". The record is from RNAcentral. Lineage: Eukaryota; Metazoa; Chordata; Mammalia; Rodentia; Muridae.